This 395-nucleotide transfer-messenger RNA is filed under the name bacterium. It matches the Rfam family "transfer-messenger RNA". From Rfam's summary of the family: Bacterial tmRNA, also known as 10Sa RNA or SsrA, is named for its dual tRNA and mRNA-like properties. The record is from RNAcentral.
GGGGCUGAAUUGCUUCGACAUUUGGACAUUUACAAGUUGGUGUAAGCAGGCCGGAUUGUCUGAACGUUAUCCGGACAAACUAAAUAGAUGCAGAAUCUCUGAAAUCUAUCGCACAGCAAGUAGCUAGCGCUUUCGCGCCUAAGCUUGCUAUGCAAGCUGCCUAAUUUUAGUCAGCGGCUGAUAAUUCGACAUCAGAUAGAAUGACCCAGUCUUAUAUUUUUCUGAUCGCUCAUAUACUGUGAUCCAUAGUAUUUGCUAAGAUUUAGGAUUGCAGCGGUUCAUGUUUUUGCUAAUUUCAAUCAUGAGCAGCUUAAGAAACCAAGUAGAUUAGAUAAGCCUGUAGAAAGCCAAUAAGUAACCGAAUGGACGCGGGAUCAUACCCGCCAGCUCCACCA